AGCGGUUGGCCUGCUGGCCUUGCAGCUUGGCGAUUGGCUGCCCAAGGCCUGGCUCUGCCAUUUCAGGGCUUUCGGUGUGAUCUCAGGGCCUGCGACUUCUCGGGCUGGCCCGCUCUGGAGCCACAUCCUUGCAGGGCGUAGUGGUACACACCGGUCGUCCCAGAACUCGGGACACUUGGGUUUGAACUCCUCCUUCCUUUGGACUGAAAUGGCUGCCACCCAACUUGCAGUGGGAAAACCUGUAAAGGCAUCCUGCAUGCCUCCCAUCUGCAGGGCUGGUACCUGGUCCGGUCUGAGGCUGCGCUGCUGCUGCUGCUGCUGCUGGACUCAGAGUCUGAGCUGCUACGGGGAAGGUUGCAGUCAUUACGGUACACCAAGAAACUCUUCUUCACAGGCUGGUUCCCACUGCUGAAGCCAUUGGUGGUUUCUCUCGCUUGCGGAUCAACUCCACCAGCAGCCGAGCUCGCUCCAGGUCAUGCCGCAGUCUCUGCCAGGAUUUGAGCUGUUCUUUGAGGGCCCAGUUUUUAUCUUCAGAAUCUCUCUAUAGAGGUAAAAGGGGCAUCAGAAGAUGGUAAGAAAGCCAGAGGAGUCCAGAAGAGGAGUGCCCAGGAAACCUAGGCCAAGGAGGAAACCCAGUAAUUUACCAAAGCACUACUACCCAUGUGUUACCAGGGGCUAGCACCUAGAAAAUUCUUGGUAUGUUUGUUGAAUUAAUGAAUACACAGGAACAAUGCCUUUCCACCAAGCUGAUAAUAAUAUAGAUUUCAUGUUGAGCCUGCACUGGGGUGGGGUGUUAAUUUAACUUAGAAAAACCCUAAGCUCUUUGAUGCUGGAGGCUACUGCUACACAUUUUAGUGUUUGCCCUUUUGGUACUAGUUUCCACAGCCCACAGGGAUUUGGACACGGUACCCCAACUUGAUCACAGUUCCUCUGAGACUGAAGGUGUGUUUGCAGGCGCCUGAGUAGUGGGACCCCAUUCCGUGAUUGUCGUUUCAGAGUCCAGUAGCUGUGCAGCCUCUGCAUGAACUGGCUCUUCCUCUGGAUGGUCAGGCGGUUGGUGAUCUUACUGAGCCUGGGAACCAGGGAACAAAAUAAAAACCUAUUAGGUCCUGACUG
Mastomys coucha (southern multimammate mouse) is the source of this 1116-nucleotide long non-coding RNA. RefSeq lists it as uncharacterized. The record is from RefSeq and is a predicted model, not a curated record. The transcript has 3 exons. Lineage: Eukaryota; Metazoa; Chordata; Mammalia; Rodentia; Muridae.